CUGCACAGCAAGCCGCUGCCAGGGCCUGGACUUGGGUUUGGGAGCCUCCGGCGAUACGAAGGAUGCCCCUUCCUGCCCAUUCCCCGCCCACUCCAGGCCCUGAUACCCGGCUUCCCAGCACCCAUCAUGAGGAUUUUAAAGUGGGCAACUGCCUGACCCCUCAGGGAAGGAAAGGGCUCCCAAAAUGACCCAAGGGGUCCGUGUGUGGCACGGAGGAUCUGGGGGAGAUUUGGGUGCAGUGAACUUCCAGAGAGUUCACCCAGGCCAGGUUUGGUGAAGCCACAAUGGCUCCCUGGGGUGUGUGACCCACAAGUAUGACGUCACAGUGGGAUUUGGAGGUGUGGCUGGCACCUUUGAGUUCAUUUCUUUUUGAACCUUGAAGGACUCCAGGCACCUCUCCAUCCCAGCCCUCUCUCUCCCCUUUUCUCAGCCCAGAAAGGGGAGGAUGGGAUGGGGCAGGUCCCACGACCUUUCAUCCAUUUGACAAGUGAACUUGGAGAUCCUUCUCAAGGACAGGCACAAGCAGAGAUGACCACAAGUCCAAAUCUGUAAGGAAACGCCAGUUAGAAAGAAAGCUAUGCAUUUUUAAAACCCACCAUGGUGCGAUAAGGAUUUCAAUCAGCGUACUUUACAUGCUAGGUGCAAAGCAUGUGGUCUCGACCAUCACAGAGGAGCAAGGGACUAAGGGGACCUAAACGAGGAAUGCUCCAAGAGGAAAGGGGGGUGAGCCCUGUCUCCGCACCUGUGUGCGAGAUCCCAUCAGUGGAGGACGUUUGUGGCGAAGAGGAGGAGGAGGAAGAAGAAACAGGGAACGAGACACUCCUCCAAGUGCCCAGGCAGGAGUCGGAGUGGGGGCUGAUGGCCUGGCCCAGGUACUCCCGAGAGCAGGCUCCGUGGUGGGAAGACAUAUAUUUCUCCUUGCCCCCCCUCCCUGCGACCUGCCUCUGUAAUUGCAGCCUGAUGACAAAGCUUUCCUUUGAUUGACAACUUGGGGCCAACUGUCCCUGUCUCCACAGUGAAAUUCUAUCGCCUCCCCUUUCCUGUGAUGCUCAGGCCAAAACAAGCAUCUACAUAAAGUAUCUACAUAAAGGAUCCCAGCCAGGACACCACAGGACAUUUAGUUAUGGUGUCUCCUCAGGCUCCUCUGUGCUGUGACCAUUUCUUAGACUUUCCUUAUUUUUGACGACCUUGACAGUUUCAAGGAGCACUGGCCAGGUAUCUUGUAGCAUGUUUCUCUGUUGGAGUUUGAUGUUUUUCUCAUGACUAGACUAGGGUUAUGGGUUUUAGGGAUGAAGAUUGCAGAGGUAAAGUGCCAUUUGUGUCACACCAUAUGUAGGGUAUGUGACUAUUGAUGUGGGCCUUGAACACGUGGCUUAAAUAGUGUUUCUCAACUCUCUUCACUGCAAAGUUGGUCUUUCCCACCACCCCUGUCCAUACUGUCCUAUUUGGAGGGAAGUCACCAUGCUCAGCCCGCAUGACUUAAGUGCUGGGGAGUCAUGCCCUCCCUCCUUGAGGGCAGAGUAGCUGCAUAAAUUAUUUGGAUUUCUUCUGCAUGAGAGAUUUCUCUCUCU
Molecule: long non-coding RNA, 1571 nt
Organism: Microcebus murinus (gray mouse lemur)
Lineage: Eukaryota; Metazoa; Chordata; Mammalia; Primates; Cheirogaleidae
Source: RefSeq, a predicted model, not a curated record